Molecule: non-coding RNA, 98 nt
Organism: Acanthosepion pharaonis
Lineage: Eukaryota; Metazoa; Mollusca; Cephalopoda; Sepiida; Sepiidae
Source: the annotation of a GenBank genome assembly
CAUUGAAACACCAUUUCCCGUACGAUAGCCGAAGUUAAGCAACGCCGAGCUUGGUUUGUACGUAAAUAGGUGACCGCUUGGGAAUACCAGGUACUGUA